RNAcentral lists this ribosomal RNA (231 nucleotides) under uncultured bacterium. RNAcentral's name for it is "partial 16S ribosomal RNA". It matches the Rfam family "Bacterial small subunit ribosomal RNA", at positions 103 to 334 of the family's 1533-position model. The record is from RNAcentral.
CGGGUGAGUAACGCGUGGGUAACCUACCCUGUACACACAGAUAACAUACCGAAAGGUAUGCUAAUACGGGAUAAUAUAUUUGAGAGGCAUCUCUUGAAUAUCAAAGGUGAGCCAGCACAGGAUGGACCCGCGUCUGACUAGCUAGUUGGUAAGGUAACGGCUUACCAAGGCGACGAUCAGUAGCCGACCUGAGAGGGUGAUCGGCCACAUUGGAACUGAGACACGGUCCAA